GCGAGAAACCUUUACAAUGUGCGAAAGCAUGAUAAGGGAACUCCGAGUGCCAGUAUCUAAUACUGGCUGUCCUUGUGCCUAAAACGCACAAGAUAGCAAGGGCCGGGUAAGACCGGUGCCAGCCGCCGCGGUAACACCGGCGGCCCGAGUGGUAGCCGCUAUUAUUGGGUCUAAAGGGUCCGUAGCCGGUUCGAUAAGUCCUCUGGGAAAUCUGGUUGCUUAACAAUCAGACUGCCAAGGGCUACUGUCGAACUUGAGACCGGGAGAGGUAAGAGGUACUUCAGGGGUAGGA
Molecule: ribosomal RNA, 292 nt
Filed under: uncultured archaeon
Lineage: Archaea
Description: partial 16S ribosomal RNA
Rfam family: Archaeal small subunit ribosomal RNA
Source: RNAcentral